UACGGGGGGGGCAAGCGUUGUUCGGAAUUACUGGGCGUAAAGGGCUCGUAGGUGGCCAACUAAGUCGGACGUGAAAUCCCUCAGCUUAACUGGGGAACUGCGUCCGAUACUGGAUGGCUCGAGUUUGGGAGAGGGAUGCGGAAUUCCAGGUGUAGCGGUGAAAUGCGUAGAUAUCUGGAGGAACACCGGUGGCGAAGGCGGCAUCCUGGACCAAUAUUGACGCUGAGGAGCGAAAGCCAGGGGAGCAAACGGG
Molecule: ribosomal RNA, 253 nt
Filed under: uncultured bacterium
Lineage: Bacteria
Description: partial 16S ribosomal RNA
Rfam family: Bacterial small subunit ribosomal RNA
Source: RNAcentral